Molecule: non-coding RNA, 30 nt
Filed under: Mus musculus (house mouse)
Lineage: Eukaryota; Metazoa; Chordata; Mammalia; Rodentia; Muridae
Source: RNAcentral
UGAUAGAUUGGUGGGCAUCUCUUUAGUCUC